Molecule: ribosomal RNA, 164 nt
Filed under: Musa acuminata AAA Group (dessert banana)
Lineage: Eukaryota; Viridiplantae; Streptophyta; Magnoliopsida; Zingiberales; Musaceae
Description: 5.8S ribosomal RNA
Rfam family: 5.8S ribosomal RNA
About the family: 5.8S ribosomal RNA (5.8S rRNA) is a component of the large subunit of the eukaryotic ribosome. It is transcribed by RNA polymerase I as part of the 45S precursor that also contains 18S and 28S rRNA.
Source: RNAcentral
UGGACGACUCUCGGCAACGGAUAUCUCGGCUCUCGCAUCGAUGAAGAACGUAACGAAAUGCGAUACCUGGGGUGAAUUGCAGAAUCCCGUGAACCAUCGAGUCUUUGAACGCAAGUUGCGCCCGAGGCCAUCCGGCUAAGGGCACGCCUGGCUGGGCGUCACGC